UUUGCUGAAUGAUUUGAUCUCAAAAUUCAAAAUAUUUCAAAUAGAUUUUUAAAUGGUUUUGAAAUAGGUUUUGAAUUAAAAGAAAAAGAAAAAAACAAAAGAAAAGGGAAAACUUUCUAGGGAAGCCUUUGUUAGUUCAAACUUCAAAGAGAGAAAUACAGGCAGACCAGGUUUGCUCGAAUAUUAAUCUGGUCAUAAGCAAGGAGAACUUCACAGUAAACCUCAUUGUGCUAGAGUCAAUCAAUAUUCCUUUGGUUCUUGGUAAUGGAUGGUUAUGUGCACACAAGGCAAUGAUCUAUGCUACCCAGUGGAAACUUUUCUUAACCGCACCAUCAGGGAAAAGAAUUGAGUAUCAGGGUGGUCCACUCCUACCUGAGGAGGCAUAUCCAUGCUAAGUUAUCAUGUCUUUGAGUUGCAUAAGUCAAAAAGUUGGUAGUCAGAAUGGACCUUGAUCAAUUACGAAUAAUAGACAUUUUAUGAAAGUUUUGUUCACAAGUUGUGAUACCGAGACAUGAGUGUUUGUUUUUGGAAUGCAAGUGGUGAAGUUGAAAUAAUUAUCAAUAUCUUUUUCCUGUUUCUCUUUUGGAAUCCGUGCCUCUUCCGAAUCUCGAGGACGAGACUCAUUUUAAGGGGGUAGAUUUGUAACAUCCAAAAAUUUACAACUUUUGAAAUAAGUCUAAAAUAAUUAAAUUUUGAAUUUUUGGUGCUCAUGAAACAUAGGAAAAUAAUAUUUUUAUUAAAUUAAAAUUUAUUAUAGGAUUUAGUAACAUGAAUGUGCAUUCAUGCUGGAGAAUUCAUUUUUUUGUUUGCUGAAUGAUUUGAUCUCAAAAUUCAAAAUAUUUCAAAUAGAUUUUUAAAUGGUUUUGAAAUAGGUUUUGAAUUAAAAGAAAAAGAAAAAAAACAAAAGAAAAGGGAAAACUUUCCCCAUCGGCAUUCUAGCCUGAAGGCCCAGUCCUUCUCCUCCCUUUUUCCCCUGGCCCCCUUUCUCUCCUUCCGCCCGGGCCCAGAACGCGCGCGGCCUGCUUCCCUUCCCCGCGGCCCAGCCACUGGCCCGCUCAAACCACAGACGGGCGCGCCUCUCCCCCCCUCUCUCUUUUCUUUUGACUGACCGACGGGCCCUCCCUUCCCUGCCGCUGACGGCUGGGGCCCACACGUCAGCUCCUGUCUCCUUCUUCCCAACGUGGCCGAGCCGGGCUCUUCACCGCACCGGACACGAUUUGAUUCCGAAAUCGACGGGAUCUUCUUGCCCACACGCGCAACUGAGCACUAUUUAGGCUCCUAGCCCCGCCCCGCACGCGUUUUUUUAUCUAAAGCGCCCGAGAAGCCCUAGCCGCCACCGACGUCGAGGAGUGGAUCUCGCCGAAGCUUUCCACACGUGGCCGCAUCCUUCCCAGCCCUCUCGGGUCGCGUUAAGAGCACCGGUGAGCUCGUAGUAAGCUUCUCCACCUCCCCACGUUUUUAUUUUGUUUUUUGGGCGUCAGCAUCGCCGUUUCUAGCAACUCCGGUGAGCUUUUGGACCUCCGUCAAUGGCGCCACCGCGCCGCCGUCAGCCACCACUCAGCCUCCCUGGAUUCUCCUGAGCCGUCGAAUCAAGAUUG
RNAcentral lists this long non-coding RNA (1598 nucleotides) under Sorghum bicolor (sorghum). Its description in RNAcentral is "long non-coding RNA (SBIC_LNC013853)". Lineage: Eukaryota; Viridiplantae; Streptophyta; Magnoliopsida; Poales; Poaceae. The record is from RNAcentral.